RNAcentral lists this long non-coding RNA (498 nucleotides) under Bemisia tabaci. RNAcentral's name for it is "lncRNA ENSSSA2NGG008400". The record is from RNAcentral. Lineage: Eukaryota; Metazoa; Arthropoda; Insecta; Hemiptera; Aleyrodidae.
GAGGAAUUUUUAGGCUGCUAAUUAUGUUGAAUUCCCCUAUGCUGAAGUCAUCCAUAUCAAAUUUACCACUCAUCACCGGGUUUAUAGCAAAAGAUUACAGGAAUAGUGUUAGCUAGAGAACAAUCAGCAUGUAAUAGUAAUAAAACUACAAUAGUAAUUAUCAUCUCUCCAUCUCUUCUCAGCAGGCACUUUUUCAGCAGGUGCAUCAUGUACCCUGAUCAAUGGCGGCAAAGUGCUCCUAUACCUGUACAUAUCACCAUAUUGUAUUUGAUCUCCAUAAUAGGUUCGGCAAUAGCGGAUGUAUUAGUUUACUCAACACUAAAUCGUUCUUAUGAGGAUGUAGACUUUCGCGAUGCCCCAUCGAGGUUUGGUGGGUCAAUACCCUUCUUUGAUGGCAUUGAGGGUUUUGUUGUAUAUGCCAACCCACCAAAUGCAUGCCAAAAAAUAAUGGGACCUCCACAAUAUUGGGAUAACUACACAGGAAAUGGUUCGUGUUAA